UUACACAUGCAAGUCGAACGCUGAAGCCUGGUGCUUGCACCGGGUGGAUGAGUGGCGAACGGGUGAGUAAUACGUGAGUGACCUGCCUUUGACUCUGGGAUAAGCCUGGGAAACUGGGUCUAAUACCGGAUGCGACUACUGCCCGCAUGGGCUGGUGGUGGAAAGGGUUAUGUACUGGUCUUAGAUGGGCUCACGGCCUAUCAGCUGGUUGGUGGGGUAAUGGCCUACCAAGGCGACGACGGGUAGCCGGCCUGAGAGGGUGACCGGCCACACUGGGACUGAGACACGGCCCAGACUCCUACGGGAGGCAGCAGUGGGGAAUAUUGCACAAUGGGCGCAAGCCUGAUGCAGCGACGCCGCGUGAGGGAUGACGGCCUUCGGGUUGUAAACCUCUUUCAGCAGGGAAGAAGCGGAAGUGACGGUACCUGCAGAAGAAGCGCCGGCUAACUACGUGCCAGCAGCCGCGGUAAUACGUAGGGCGCAAGCGUUGUCCGGAAUUAUUGGGCGUAAAGAGCUCGUAGGCGGCUUGUCGCGUCUGCUGUGAAAGCCCGGGGCUUAACUCCGGGUGUGCAGUGGGUACGGGCAGGCUAGAGUGCAGUAGGGGUAACUGGAAUUCCUGGUGUAGCGGUGAAAUGCGCAGAUAUCAGGAGGAACACCGAUGGCGAAGGCAGGUUACUGGGCUGUUACUGACGCUGAGGAGCGAAAGCAUGGGGAGCGAACAGGAUUAGAUACCCUGGUAGUCCAUGCCGUAAACGUUGGGCACUAGGUGUGGGGGACAUUCCACGUUUUCCGCGCCGUAGCUAACGCAUUAAGUGCCCCGCCUGGGGAGUACGGCCGCAAGGCUAAAACUCAAAGGAAUUGACGGGGGCCCGCACAAGCGGCGGAGCAUGCGGAUUAAUUCGAUGCAACGCGAAGAACCUUACCAAGGCUUGACAUACACUGGAUCGUUCCAGAGAUGGUUCUUCCCUUUUGGGCUGGUGUACAGGUGGUGCAUGGUUGUCGUCAGCUCGUGUCGUGAGAUGUUGGGUUAAGUCCCGCAACGAGCGCAACCCUCGUUCUAUGUUGCCAGCACGUGAUGGUGGGGACUCAUAGGAGACUGCCGGGGUCAACUCGGAGGAAGGUGGGGAUGACGUCAAUCAUC
Molecule: ribosomal RNA, 1141 nt
Filed under: Kocuria sp.
Lineage: Bacteria; Bacillati; Actinomycetota; Actinomycetes; Micrococcales; Micrococcaceae
Description: bacterial SSU rRNA
Rfam family: Bacterial small subunit ribosomal RNA
Source: RNAcentral